Molecule: long non-coding RNA, 701 nt
Organism: Delphinapterus leucas (beluga whale)
Lineage: Eukaryota; Metazoa; Chordata; Mammalia; Artiodactyla; Monodontidae
Source: RefSeq, a predicted model, not a curated record
GCCUGGGAGCUGCUGGGAUGGAAAUGUUGAAAAAUCCUGUGUGUUGCCAGGACAACUUUCUGCCCUGUCACACCCAGACCUCUCCAGCGUCUUCUACAGCGAAGCCUUCCAGAGCAGAUGCUCAGUGCCUCAUUCCCUCACGGCCAUUUGCUUUCCAGGACCAUCUCGGUCAGCUGGGCCGGGGGAGGGAGGCCCAGAGAGGGUUUCUAAAGGAACUGCCUACCUCGAUGAUGCUCUGCUCUGAAAAUUAAAAGCAGCUAAGAAGAUGAGGUCCCUGCCCCCACCCCCGGGAGCUUCCAGUCUAAAGUCUGAGAGGAAGCAAACAGCUCGGAGGCUAAAAGCGCCUGCCCCGCUCCCCCUCCUGGUUCUCCCUCCUUUCUCUAAAGGGCAGGGGCUCCCAAGUUCACGGGAUCAAACUCUGCUUCCUCAACCAGCUGCAUCCUCCAGGCCACCCUCCCCUGCAGCCUAGGAAACCGCCCCCCUCAAGCCUUUCCCCCACCUCCAACUCCCCUGUUUCUGCAAGGACGUCCUCCUUCCUCCCUCACAUCAGGCUCUCCUUCCCUUCCCCCUUUGGCACUUGCCCACUCUUCUUCCUGUAAUCUCUUAUCUACAGGUACCCUUUUUUCUUUUUUUUCUUUCUUUAUUUUUUUGCCGUGCCCCAGCGGCUUGCGGGGUCUUAGUUCCCCCGACCAGGGAUCGAA